This 31-nucleotide non-coding RNA is filed under the name Rattus norvegicus (Norway rat). Lineage: Eukaryota; Metazoa; Chordata; Mammalia; Rodentia; Muridae. The record is from RNAcentral.
UGAGCAGCUCAAUACAUUUCAGAGACUCGGU